Molecule: non-coding RNA, 82 nt
Organism: Aedes aegypti (yellow fever mosquito)
Lineage: Eukaryota; Metazoa; Arthropoda; Insecta; Diptera; Culicidae
Source: Rfam
GGCUUCGUGGCCGUGCGGUUAGUGUCGUCAGGCAAUGAGCGUAUCGUGUCAUGGGGUGUGGGUUCGAUUCCCACUGCAGCCA